GGCCGGUUAGCUCAGUUCGUUAGAGCGUGGUGCUAAUAAUGCCAAGGUCACGGGUUCAACCCCCUACGGGCCA
RNAcentral lists this transfer RNA (73 nucleotides) under Merluccius polli (Benguela hake). It matches the Rfam family "tRNA". From Rfam's summary of the family: Transfer RNA (tRNA) molecules are approximately 80 nucleotides in length. Lineage: Eukaryota; Metazoa; Chordata; Actinopteri; Gadiformes; Merlucciidae. The record is from Rfam by way of RNAcentral.